GGAUUUAGCGGCGGAUGGGUGAGUAACACGUAAGCAACCUGCCUAAAAGAGGGGAAUAACAGAGAGAAAUUUCUGAUAAUACCGCAUAUACCAAAGUAUCGCAUGGUACAAUUGGGAAAGAUUUAUCACUUUUAGAUGGGCUUGCGUCUGAUUAGCUAGUUGGUGAGAUAAUAGCUCACCAAGGCGACGAUCAGUAGCCGGAUUGAGAGGUUGAACGGCCACAUUGGGACUGAGACACGGCCCAGACUCC
RNAcentral lists this ribosomal RNA (250 nucleotides) under uncultured bacterium. Its description in RNAcentral is "partial 16S ribosomal RNA". It matches the Rfam family "Bacterial small subunit ribosomal RNA", at positions 88 to 339 of the family's 1533-position model. The record is from RNAcentral.